Molecule: ribosomal RNA, 220 nt
Filed under: uncultured bacterium
Lineage: Bacteria
Description: partial 16S ribosomal RNA
Rfam family: Bacterial small subunit ribosomal RNA
Source: RNAcentral
ACGCUCGACACCUACAGGAGGCAGCAGGUGAGGAAUAUUGGUCAAGUGGACGCAAGUCUGAACCAGCCAUGCCGCGUGCAGGAUGACGGCUCUAUGAGUUGUAAACUGCUUUUGUACGAGGGUAAACGCAGAUACGUGUAUCUGUCUGAAAGUAUCGUACGAAUAAGGAUCGGCUAACUCCGUGUCAGCAGCCGCGGUAAUCUGAGCGGGCUGGCAAGGC